RNAcentral lists this ribosomal RNA (494 nucleotides) under Newportia monticola. RNAcentral describes it as "partial small subunit ribosomal RNA". It matches the Rfam family "Bacterial large subunit ribosomal RNA", at positions 1817 to 2600 of the family's 2925-position model. The record is from RNAcentral. Lineage: Eukaryota; Metazoa; Arthropoda; Chilopoda; Scolopendromorpha; Scolopocryptopidae.
GGUUUUUUGGAACAUAAUAAAAAAUCUGGCCUGCCCAAUGAUGGUUUAAAUGGCCGCGAUAUUUUAAUCGUGCUAAGGUAGCAUAAUCAAUUGUCUGUUAAUUGCAGGCUGGAAUGAAUGGUUGGACUUGAAAUUAGUUGUCUUUAUAAUAACUUGAAUUUUUCUUUUUUGUGAGGAGACAAAAAUGAUCUAAGGAGACGAGAAGACCCUAUUAAGUUUUACAUCAAUAAUAUUAAAAUGUGUAGUGAAAAUAAUAGAAAGGAUGUUUUGCUGGGGUGGUUAAAAAUAAAGGAAACAUUUUUAAAUACAGAGACUGAUAGGUGGAAUUGAUCCAAUAAUAUUGAGUUAGAGACUAAAUUACUAUAGGGAUAACAGCGUAAUUUUGUUUAGAAGUUCAAAUUUAUGGCAAAGUUUGCGACCUCGAUGUUGGUUUAAGGGUCCUAUUUAGUGCAAAAAUUAAAAAAGGAGGUUUGUUCAACCAAUAAAUCCUUAUA